This 815-nucleotide ribosomal RNA is filed under the name uncultured bacterium. RNAcentral describes it as "bacterial SSU rRNA". It matches the Rfam family "Bacterial small subunit ribosomal RNA", at positions 626 to 1442 of the family's 1533-position model. The record is from RNAcentral.
UUNUGAACUGGGUGACUAGAGUGUNUCAGAGGGAGGUAGAAUUCCACGUGUAGCAGUGAAAUGCGUAGAGAUGUGGAGGAAUACCGAUGGCGAAGGCAGCCUCCUGGGAUAACACUGACGUUCAUGCCCGAAAGCGUGGGUAGCAAACAGGAUUAGAUACCCUGGUAGUCCACGCCCUAAACGAUGUCGAUUAGCUGUUGGGCAGCAUGACUGCUUAGUAGCGAAGCUAACGCGUGAAAUCGACCGCCUGGGGAGUACGGUCGCAAGAUUAAAACUCAAAGGAAUUGACGGGGACCCGCACAAGCGGUGGAUGAUGUGGAUUAAUUCGAUGCAACGCGAAGAACCUUACCUGGUCUUGACAUGUACGGAACCCUCCAGAGACGGAGGGGUGCCUUCGGGAGCCGUAACACAGGUGCUGCAUGGCUGUCGUCAGCUCGUGUCGUGAGAUGUUGGGUUAAGUCCCGCAACGAGCGCAACCCUUGUCAUUAGUUGCCAUCAUUAAGUUGGGCACUCUAAUGAGACUGCCGGUGACAAGCCGGAGGAAGGUGGGGAUGACGUCAAGUCCUCAUGGCCCUUAUGACCAGGGCUUCACACGUCAUACAAUGGUCGGUACAGAGGGUAGCCAAGCCGCGAGGUGGAGCCAAUCUCACAAAACCGAUCGUAGUCCGGAUUGCACUCUGCAACUCGAGUGCAUGAAGUCGGAAUCGCUAGUAAUCGCAGGUCAGCAUACUGCGGUGAAUACGUUCCCGGGUCUUGUACACACCGCCCGUCACACCAUGGGAGUGGGGGAUACCAGAAGUAGGUAGGGUAACCGC